UACGGGGGGGGCAAGCGUUGUUCGGAAUUACUGGGCGUAAAGGGCUUGUAGGUGGCCAACUAAGUCAGACGUGAAAUCCCUCGGCUUAACCGGGGAACUGCGUCUGAUACUGGAUGGCUUGAGUUUGGGAGAGGGACGCGGAAUUCCAGGUGUAGCGGUGAAAUGCGUAGAUAUCGUAAGGAAGACCAGUGGCGAAGGCGGGUCUCUGGACAGUUCCUGACGCUGAGGCGCGAAGGCCAGGGGAGCAAACGGG
RNAcentral lists this ribosomal RNA (253 nucleotides) under uncultured bacterium. RNAcentral describes it as "partial 16S ribosomal RNA". It matches the Rfam family "Bacterial small subunit ribosomal RNA", at positions 524 to 776 of the family's 1533-position model. The record is from RNAcentral.